Molecule: ribosomal RNA, 539 nt
Filed under: uncultured Geobacteraceae bacterium
Lineage: Bacteria; Pseudomonadati; Thermodesulfobacteriota; Desulfuromonadia; Geobacterales; Geobacteraceae
Description: bacterial SSU rRNA
Rfam family: Bacterial small subunit ribosomal RNA
Source: RNAcentral
GAGUUUGAUCCUGGCUCAGAACGAACGCUGGCGGCGUGCUUAACACAUGCAAGUCGAACGGGAUCCAGAGCUUGCUCUGGUGAGAGUGGCGCACGGGUGAGUAACGCGUGGAUAACCUGCCCUGGUAUCUGGAAUAACAUCUCGAAAGGGGUGCUAAUACCGGAUAAGCCCACGGCUCCUUCGGGAGCUGCGGGAAAAGGUGGCCUCUAUUUAUAAGCUACCGUAUCAGGAUGGGUCCGCGUACCAUUAGCUAGUUGGUGGGGUAAUGGCCUACCAAGGCGACGAUGGUUAGCUGGUCCGAGAGGAUGGUCAGCCACACUGGAACUGAGACACGGUCCAGACUCCUACGGGAGGCAGCAGUGGGGAAUUUUGCGCAAUGGGGGAAACCCUGACGCAGCAACGCCGCGUGAGUGAUGAAGGCUUUCGGGUCGUGAAGCUCUGUCAGAGGGGAAGAAAUGAAACUGGCUAAUAUCCAGUUUUCUUGACGGUACCCCUAAAGGAAGCACCGGCUAACUCCGUGCCAGCAGCCGCGGUAAUAC